AUGAAAACAACGGAGCCAUGUUUACCUACAAUUUAUUUGCAGGCUGCAGCUGAAUUGGUUAACAGCUGAUGCAAAUUGUUAUGAGCGAGCAAAGGACCCACCCUCCUUGUAACUGUAGUGAAACAGAAAGACCUGUCAAAAAUACUUCUUCCAAUUUUGAAGAAAUCGUCUUAUGGCCUUCAGUUGUUUUUUGGUUUAAUCCAGUUUAUAUGCCUAAUCCUUAAAGGCAAAUAAAGUGUUCAGGAGGCUUUCCACCAAAGGAAUGGCUUUUCUCUUGCAAAAUAAAGCUGGUUCAACGCUCUCUGAUUUGGAGACACAUUUGUUCCCUGACUACCUUCUUCCAGAGACUGAACUGUGUUCCAUCAACAUUUCCAUUGCUCCUACUGUUUUAACUUGCUCAGGACAAGGAAACCACCUCAAAAUACUACUGGAAGGUGCUUUAAGAAGUUAUACUCCCAUGUUUUCUUUCAAGAUGAGACGAUGAAAGGCUCCCUGUUGUGCGGGAUUUGGACAUUUCACACUUGGAACACAAAUUGGGCUGAUUAUCCAUACAGCAUUAUUGUCACAUUUGUGGGUUUUGGUGCCAGGAAGCAAUAAGCUGUGAACUGCCAUAUUCCCACUGUCUCAGCCUCUGGGGAUGGGAAGGAAAACCCCUUUUUUGUAUGUCCUUCUUCAAUUUCGUAUCUAGAUCAUUUUGGCUCAUAGACCUAUACCAGAGACAGAUUCCCCUCUCCUCUCUCCAAAUGUAGAAGCAGCCAUCACUCUGAAGCUUUGGAGGCAUUCAGACCAUGCUUCUAAAAAUCAGGUUCCAUUCUUCCAUUCCCAUACUCACAGGUUUCAAGCAAAACGCAAAGCACUGAGAUGCUGUAAGCGCAAUCUCUUGGCACUAUCUGCUGGGGAACACAGUGCUGGAAAUCUUUUGAAAUAGAUGGCUUCUCACAUAAAUUACACUCUGCUAAAAGACUUCAAGGGAUUCUAGUUCAUGGUUGAUUCUUAUCCAGGCAGAAAGUCUUGAGUGUUUUGGAUUGCCCCUCUUUUAGCCUGACUUUCCUAGGUCAAGGGUAGACAAAGUCUUUACUGUCAGGAUGCUGGUGUCCCAGGGGCAGACUGCUCUGCCAUAAAGACACAUUCAGCCCUUAGUUGCUGAUCCAGUUAUGCAAGUGCAUUGCUUCAUGUGAUUUCUGUAGUAUAGUGAAGUCCCUUCUCCAUUAGGACAGGGCCUGAUGAAAACCCAGCACUGCACCAAAUACUGGAUCAAGACUUAACAAUCACUCUUUAGCCUGUAUUCUUCCAGAAAUGCCCGACAUUUUUGUAUAUGUACAUGUAUACAAACAGGCUGAUGAUAUACAAUAUAUACGCACAACCUCAUCUUACAGGUAAUAUAGUCAAGUUACACUUAAGGUACACUUAUUUCUGGAGUUUCAAGAGAACCAAUUAAAAAGAAACCUUUGGAUGUCAUAAAACUUGACACAUUUGUGUGAAAUACUUCUAUUUUGAAGAAAUAUUUCAGAAUAUUCAUAUUAAAAGUUGUUUUGUCAAAAAUCUACCAAUUACAGCAAAAGGGAAACUAAUGAGGAAAGCAAGUCUGGCACAGAACUGAACAAACUGGAGGCAUCUCAUACAUAAACUUGGAAUCAGAUCUUACUCAUGUCCCAUGGAUGUGUGAAAUAAACUGACAGUUUGCUUAGUCAAAUGUCUUGUCUGGCUGAUGGCUGCAGCACCAGCACAUGAAAGAAACUAUGUAAAACAGGGGACAAAAAUUAUUCUUCAGCUGUACUCCAAUAAUAAUGUUGAAAGCAACUACAUCUGUGUUAUGAGGCAGAGGCAGUAUAAAAAAUUACUGUUAACCUCACAUACUGCAAAAACUAGGGAGGUGUUAAACAAUUGCAUUCCCAUUUUGGGAAAAUAUGACUAUGACUGUAUCCUUGACAGAAAUAAGCUGUGAUUCCAGAAAUAAGGAGCAGAAAUAAGCCAUAAUUCUUUAGCCUUCCAGAAUUUCAUAACCAUUGUCAGUAUUAACCAAGUCACAGACUUCAGGGUAAUUCUCCAGGAAAACUUUGGAAUCUCCUAAGCAAAACAUAAAUACAAAUUAUUUUUAAAAUAGUGGCUUUAAUCCCAGAGUUGAGGGAGCUCACUUGAGAAUUUAUACUUCGACAUAUUAGGACUGAAUCUUAGGGAAAGGUCUAAUGUUAUUUUGUGCAAUUGGCAGAAUUGCAGCUCCGAUUUUUCCUUACACCCACCCUAUUUAGAUUCAAAGCCAGUCUCAUAUGAGAGCCUUUAGUAAGUUUUCUCUGAGGAAGAAAACCUAAUGGAGUCCAUGUACUGUUAUCACAAGUCCAUGUGUGUUCCUACCAGAAUAUGACUGGCCCUUGACAGUCACAGACAUGCACCAGAUGCAUGCAAUCUAUUUUGGGGGUGAAGUGGCACUGUCAAUAGUGAGAAGACAGGCUGGUCAUGGGACUUUUUUACAAAGUCCUUUAUCUUUUUUUACUGCAAAGGCAGUAGGAUUUUGUAGCCUGUCAGGGUGUAAGCUAUUCAUUGGUUUUCCAGCUGUGUGGUGGCAAAAUACAGCCAAUGAUGUGGAUACGUGGAUACAUCCUGCCCACUCACUGAUUUGCAGUCCUAGGACUAAAGUGCCUCCUAGCCCACACCCUGCAUGGUACAGACUGAGCUCUCAGGGUUUAACCAUGCACUGAAUGUUGAUAAAGUGUUUUGUGAAACAGUCAGUAUAAUUACAUUUUAAAGUUAAAAAAAAUAUAUAUUUUGCAGAACUGAGACUGAAACUGCUGUAUGUUAUCUGUACGCCUGCUAAAUGCUGUUCAAACUGUUUGCUACUCUAAAAAAAUGAAAAUAACAUUCAUAUAGAGCUGUUCUUCUACGGAGACCAUUACAUCUUCUUGAGCCAGACACAUAUGCUGUUUAGACUGUACUUAUGUGUUAAAUCAAAGCCAUCUAAGUAAAUGAUGUAAGUUCAUGAGCCACUGCUGCAUGCCCUUGCCACUGAGCUUAAACCAUUCAUAGUAACACUGUCCAACACACA
Long non-coding RNA from Anas platyrhynchos (mallard), 3040 nucleotides. RefSeq lists it as uncharacterized. Lineage: Eukaryota; Metazoa; Chordata; Aves; Anseriformes; Anatidae. The record is from RefSeq and is a predicted model, not a curated record.